CUAACCAGGAUUCCCCCAGUAACGGCGAGUGAAGCGGGAAGAGCUCACGUUGUAAAUCUGACUUUCGGGUCCGAAUUGUAGUCUGGAGAGGCGAGGCCAGCCGGCGGUGGGGGCGAAGUCUCUUGGAAAAGAGCAUCAAGGAGGGUGACAAUCCCGUUCUUGCCCCCGAUUUCCGUCGCGCGUACGGCCCGUUUUCUACGAGUCGAGUUGCUUGGGAUUGCAGCUCAAAGCGGGUGGUAAAUUCCAUCUAAAGCUAAACACGGGUGGGAGACCGAUAGCGAACAAGUACCGUGAGGGAAAGAUGCAAAGAACUUUGAAAAGAGAGUUAAAGAGUGCCUGAAAUUGCUGAAAGGGAAGCGAAGGAAACCAGUGUCUGGCCGUUCCGCUUCUCCUCCGCUUCUCGAAGCGUUGGUUUGCGUUUCGGCCGUGGCCAGGGCCGGGUGGUGUUGCGGGAUGCUGCGCCUGGGAAGGUAGCUCUUUUAGAGUGAAUACCUAGGCGUUUCGUCGCGACGCCGGCCGGUCCUGACGAAAUGGUUUUCUUUAC
This 544-nucleotide ribosomal RNA is filed under the name Ralfsia fungiformis. Its description in RNAcentral is "LSU rRNA". It matches the Rfam family "Eukaryotic large subunit ribosomal RNA", at positions 65 to 647 of the family's 3401-position model. The record is from RNAcentral. Lineage: Eukaryota; Phaeophyceae; Ralfsiales; Ralfsiaceae.